RNAcentral lists this long non-coding RNA (186 nucleotides) under Penaeus monodon (black tiger shrimp). Its description in RNAcentral is "uncharacterized LOC119577989". Lineage: Eukaryota; Metazoa; Arthropoda; Malacostraca; Decapoda; Penaeidae. The record is from RNAcentral.
UGAAGGAACCGGAAAUCAGUACAGCCUCGUGCUUCGUAACGUCAAGAUGUAUAAGUCCGCAUGUCUUCUCCUUCUACUUGUCAGUUGUUUGCAACUGGAGAAAGUGUCUGGUCGUCAUUCGCCGAAAGCAGGCGCCGACAGACACCCCCAAAGACAGCCGACUCAGAGACUCCACUCGGAAAGCUU